CUCGCCCGCUUCUCCUGCGGCUACCGCCCCCGGGGCGAGCCGAGGUGGUAAUGGAGUCUUUGUCGAAUACAAGUGAAAAAUGAACAAUUACGGCUUGAGUCCGCACUGUGCACGCACACGUGCCCGUCAGAGGAGGGGCAGCCAGACCCUGAACUAAUGUGUGGCCGCCGGGGACUCCACCGCGGUUCACAGGCGUGAUGGGCGCGCGGCGCCAGGGUCCCGGCUCAGCCGGGCGGAGGGCGGGUCGGGGCGGGGAAGAGUGACGCGAUCCUCCGCGCCCGCCCGCAGUCUGCACGUGGACGCGGGGCUGCUGGGGGCCGGGACUGCGCUUCGCAGAGCACAACGAUCCACCGUGUGCCUCGGCGCCCUCGGAGGUGCUGGUCACCCAGAUCCCGUGGGACGGUGCAGCUGCCCUCGGCUUGAGCAACUUCAGCGCUGGGUUACCAAGACACACCAGCUUCAGGCUGCUGAUCUUUCUGGAAAGUUUUUUAACUGUGGAGGAGAAAGGAAGCGUCUUAGUUUUAGAAGCUGGACCUGCCUCGAGGGCAAGGCAAAAAGGUGGAGGGGACUGGAGGAAAAUAUAAGGUCCUAAGGGCUUCUGAACCCCAGCCAGGUCAGCCCAGAAUGGCUUCAGCCAACAUGCCCCACGGAAGGGAAGACGCGGCAAGGGCAUCGUGGCCCAGAGGACCUCGGGAAGGUGCUGCCCAAACUCCACACGCCAGUUCUCCGUACAAGUCACCAGUCCAGUGCCUGGACCAGAGGAGCACAUGAGCUCUGCUUUUGGAAGCUCUGCCAGGGUGGAGAGGUCAGGACAGCAGAGAGCCCUGGGCCUUGGUGGCAGCGGAGGCACCUUGAGAGGUGAAUACUUCCUGAGUCCCGGGGACUUUGCUUGAUGCUGAGCUGGUUUCAGAACAGCCACAGAGACCUUGCAGCCUCCUGAGGGGAGGGGCCCCAGGUACAAAACCAUUGUGUAAAGAACAAUCAGAUUAAUUGUAAUUGGCAUCUGGUCGAUCGCCUGGAGAAUCCCAUGGACAGAAGAGCCUGGCAGGCUGUACAGUUCACGGGGUCACAAGAGUCGGACAUGACUUAGCAACUAAACCAC
Molecule: long non-coding RNA, 1102 nt
Organism: Cervus elaphus (red deer)
Lineage: Eukaryota; Metazoa; Chordata; Mammalia; Artiodactyla; Cervidae
Exons: 5
Source: RefSeq, a predicted model, not a curated record